Molecule: non-coding RNA, 45 nt
Organism: Schistosoma mansoni
Lineage: Eukaryota; Metazoa; Platyhelminthes; Trematoda; Strigeidida; Schistosomatidae
Source: Rfam
AUUCAGCUGACGAACCCCAAAUAAGACGAAACGCGUGUCUUGGAU